AAAAUGUACUGCCUGUGGAGAAAUUGAGCAGAAGUCAUGCUACUCUUUUGGAGCAGGAAUUAAUAUCUUAAACAUUAGCAGCUACUUGAGGCUCAUUAGGAAGCAGUCUUUUGAACUGUGGUCCUGUAUGGAUGGAGACAAUACACCAAAAGAGGAGAGCUUGACUAUGUGAUAAGGCAGGGUAGUAUCUCAGGGAGUAUCGGAAAGAAGGCAACUUGCUGCAUUAAUAGGGGCUCCAUGUCCCACUGUUCUGACUUCAAGUUUCAGGUUGAUCCACAUUUUGGAUUCUUCCAAUGUCUGCAAGACUUUACCAAGUAGCUUGAUCAAACAUUUUCAGACUGACGGGUCUCUUCAAUCUAUUUGUUCUGAUUACAGGCUUUUCUUUACAUCCAGAGUUUACUGUUGGUUCAGCUUGGAUGUCUGAAACUUCCAAAGCAGAACAAUCAGUGGUGGAUAAUGAGAGUAACAAAUAUCCCUGUUGCCAUGUGAGCAGGGGCAAAAGAGUAUUCACAUAAAACAUUCCUACAAAUAAAUCUCUAUUCUUUAAAUACAGAGAACUUUGAAACAGUUGAACACAGAACACACAUUUAUAGAACACUUCAAAUUAACUGGUAUUGUGGUUGUCCUAGUUUUAGGAGUUGAGUCUCUUGGGUUGGGCUAAGGAGUCUUAUAAUGGUGACUUUGAAUUGAUCUUAGUUGUCCUAUCCAGCCAUGUUUUUAAAUCUUAUCAUAUCUCUCAAGCAAAAUCAGGGGUGGUUUGCAGAGUAAUACUCUUUUGGGAAAUGGAUGAGAGGAAGCUCACACAUUCUGAGAGAAUCUGAGCUAAGAUGAUUAGUGUGAGACAAAAAGGAUGCUUGUGAGUUGUUUCUCUAAUUUUAUAUUCUUCUCCACAAAACUGGAGUGCGGACUAUACAGGUUUAGGUGCUUUUUAAUUAUUAGUUUCAGUUGUAUGUGACCAUGUCCCUAGCGGUAGCAUUUAUAAAUAUUCUUAUUUUUUCCUACACCUCUGCAAUUAUUUAAUCUAUGACAGCAUUGGCUUUACUCAAUUUAUGCCAGUGUAUUUCAGCUGAGAUUUUUGGUCUGUUCUUCUUGACGCUGCCUUUAAGAUGGCUGUAUUAAUUAAAUUGAAAAAUUAUAUAGUAUAUUAAAUUAUUUCAAAAACAUGAAAACUUGGGGCUUCCCUUCAUCUUUGUAAAUGCAGGCCCCAUCUGUUAGUCUAUACUGUCAAUGUGGGGGGAAAAAAUCGUCCCUUUGCAUAAUUAUACAUUAUGCCAAAUAAUAAACUCUACUUUGAAAAUGAUA
Molecule: long non-coding RNA, 1302 nt
Organism: Oxyura jamaicensis (ruddy duck)
Lineage: Eukaryota; Metazoa; Chordata; Aves; Anseriformes; Anatidae
Exons: 3
Source: RefSeq, a predicted model, not a curated record